AAUAUUGGACAAUGGGGGCAACCCUGAUCCAGCCAUGCCGCGUGUGUGAAGAAUGUCUNCGGAAUNUNAAGCACUUUAAGUGGGGNGGAAGGGCUUUAGGCUAAUACCCUGAAGUUUUGACGUUACCAACAGAAUAAGCACCGGCUAACUCUGCGCCAGCAGCCGCGGUAAUACUGAGGGUGCAAGCGUUAAUCGGAAUUACUGGGCGUACAGCGGGCGUAGGUGGUUCAGUAAGAUGCGUGUGAAAUCCCCGGGCUUAACCUGGGAACAGCUUUCACAACUGCUGAGCUAGAGUACGGUAGAGGUUAGUGGAAUUUCCUGUGUAGCGGUGAAAUGCGUAGAUAUAGGAAGGAACACCAGUGGCGAAGGCGACUACCUGGACUGAUACUGACACUGAGGUGCGAAAGCGUGGGGAGCAAACA
RNAcentral lists this ribosomal RNA (422 nucleotides) under uncultured bacterium. RNAcentral's name for it is "partial 16S ribosomal RNA". It matches the Rfam family "Bacterial small subunit ribosomal RNA", at positions 360 to 774 of the family's 1533-position model. The record is from RNAcentral.